UAUAAAGUGCCUGAUUUUAAAAAGGAUUAUUAUGAUAUAAUAAAAUAUGUUAUUAAAUAACCUUUAUUU
This 69-nucleotide transfer RNA is filed under the name Cotesia vestalis (diamondback moth parasitoid). RNAcentral describes it as "tRNA-Ile". The record is from RNAcentral. Lineage: Eukaryota; Metazoa; Arthropoda; Insecta; Hymenoptera; Braconidae.